UGAACGCUGGCGGCAUGCCUUACACAUGCAAGUCGAACGGCAGCACGGGUGCUUGCACCUGGUGGCGAGUGGCGAACGGGUGAGUAAUACAUCGGAACAUGUCCUGUAGUGGGGGAUAGCCCGGCGAAAGCCGGAUUAAUACCGCAUACGAUCUACGGAUGAAAGCGGGGGACCUUCGGGCCUCGCGCUAUAGGGUUGGCCGAUGGCUGAUUAGCUAGUUGGUGGGGUAAAGGCCUACCAAGGCGACGAUCAGUAGCUGGUCUGAGAGGACGACCAGCCACACUGGGACUGAGACACGGCCCAGACUCCUACGGGAGGCAGCAGUGGGGAAUUUUGGACAAUGGGCGAAAGCCUGAUCCAGCAAUGCCGCGUGUGUGAAGAAGGCCUUCGGGUUGUAAAGCACUUUUGUCCGGAAAGAAAUCCUUGGCUCUAAUACAGUCGGGGGAUGACGGUACCGGAAGAAUAAGCACCGGCUAACUACGUGCCAGCAGCCGCGGUAAUACGUAGGGUGCGAGCGUUAAUCGGAAUUACUGGGCGUAAAGCGUGCGCAGGCGGUUUGCUAAGACCGAUGUGAAAUCCCCGGGCUCAACCUGGGAACUGCAUUGGUGACUGGCAGGCUAGAGUAUGGCAGAGGGGGGUAGAAUUCCACGUGUAGCAGUGAAAUGCGUAGAGAUGUGGAGGAAUACCGAUGGCGAAGGCAGCCCCCUGGGCCAAUACUGACGCUCAUGCACGAAAGCGUGGGGAGCAAACAGGAUUAGAUACCCUGGUAGUCCACGCCCUAAACGAUGUCAACUAGUUGUUGGGGAUUCAUUUCCUUAGUAACGUAGCUAACGCGUGAAGUUGACCGCCUGGGGAGUACGGUCGCAAGAUUAAAACUCAAAGGAAUUGACGGGGACCCGCACAAGCGGUGGAUGAUGUGGAUUAAUUCGAUGCAACGCGAAAAACCUUACCUACCCUUGACAUGGUCGGAAUCCCGCUGAGAGGUGGGAGUGCUCGAAAGAGAACCGGCGCACAGGUGCUGCAUGGCUGUCGUCAGCUCGUGUCGUGAGGUGUUGGGUUAAGUCCCGCAACGAGCGCAACCCUUGUCCUUAGUUGCUACGCAAGAGCACUCUAAGGAGACUGCCGGUGACAAACCGGAGGAAGGUGGGGAUGACGUCAAGUCCUCAUGGCCCUUAUGGGUAGGGCUUCACACGUCAUACAAUGGUCGGAACAGAGGGUUGCCAACCCGCGAGGGGGAGCUAAUCCCAGAAAACCGAUCGUAGUCCGGAUUGCACUCUGCAACUCGAGUGCAUGAAGCUGGAAUCGCUAGUAAUCGCGGAUCAGCAUGCCGCGGUGAAUACGUUCCCGGGUCUUGUACUCACCGC
RNAcentral lists this ribosomal RNA (1364 nucleotides) under uncultured beta proteobacterium. RNAcentral describes it as "16S ribosomal RNA". It matches the Rfam family "Bacterial small subunit ribosomal RNA", at positions 30 to 1393 of the family's 1533-position model. The record is from RNAcentral. Lineage: Bacteria; Pseudomonadati; Pseudomonadota; Betaproteobacteria.